GAGCUCAGGCAAGGCUACCCGCUGAACUUAAGCAUAUCAAUAAGCGGAGGAAAAGAAACUAACAAGGAUGCGCUUAGUAACGGCGAGCGAACCGCGCAAAGCCCAACUUGAAAAUCUCCCUUGGAGAAUUGUAGUCUAAAAGAAGU
Molecule: ribosomal RNA, 146 nt
Filed under: Tetradesmus obliquus var. dactylococcoides
Lineage: Eukaryota; Viridiplantae; Chlorophyta; Chlorophyceae; Sphaeropleales; Scenedesmaceae
Description: partial 28S ribosomal RNA
Rfam family: Eukaryotic large subunit ribosomal RNA
Source: RNAcentral